RNAcentral lists this ribosomal RNA (305 nucleotides) under uncultured bacterium. Its description in RNAcentral is "partial 16S ribosomal RNA". It matches the Rfam family "Bacterial small subunit ribosomal RNA", at positions 508 to 807 of the family's 1533-position model. The record is from RNAcentral.
ACAGCAGUCGCCGCGGUAAUACGAAGGGUGCAAGCGUUAAUCGGAAUUACUGGGCGUAAAGCGUGCGUAGGCGGUGAGUUAAGUCUGCUGUGAAAUCCCCGGGCUCAACCUGGGAAUGGCAGUGGAUACUGGCUCGCUAGAGUGUGUCAGAAGAUGGUGGAAUUCCCGGUGUAGCGGUGAAAUGCGUAGAGAUCGGGAGGAACAUCAGUGGCGAAGGCGGCCAUCUGGGACAACACUGACGCUGAGGCACGAAAGCGUGGGGAGCAAACAGGAUUAGAUACCCCCGUAGUCCCUGUCUCUUAUAC